UCCGCCCUCCCGCCCCUCGCCCGGCCUUGGGGGCUGCCGGCUCCCCCUCCUGGCGUCGCACCGGCCCCGCGCCCCCUGCCGGCCGCCGUGCUGCGUUUUCCAGGGCCUGGGGCGCCGAGCCGACAGGAAGGGCAGGCCCCAGGGACCCUCACUCUUGGUCCCCACCAGGUUCCCCAGAUGCUUCUACGACCGUGCGAGCGAGGGUCAGGCCCCCGAGCAUUGCAGGCAGGCGGCCGUCCGCCGGCGAGAUGGGGAGACUUUGGAGUGUGUGUCUUAGCUCUGGAGUCGGGUUUCUCAUGGUCCAGCCCUCCGGGGGCUGAUGGAACUUGCAAAGCCCACCAGGGCCCUGCCUGAGAGAAGGCAAAGACAUCUGGGGGACCUUCCCUGUAACAGACUGAAGACUACCCCGGUGUGUGGCCGUCAGCCCCGAGAACCUGGAGUGCGAGGCACUGUGCCUCCCCCACUCUCAAAUGCUCAUCUCUGCCAGUGGAGAAGUCUUCUGUGAGCUGGCUUCAUGGGGCUUAGAGCAACACCUUCCAAACUUGUCUGGGCCCUCUGUGUGAAGAACACACCUGUUGGCAUCUCCAAGGAGCUCAGGCUGGGAAACAGGUAAAUGCACCAGGCAGGUCCAUGAAUGAUGACAUGUACCUGGAUUGUGAAGCCCUCUAUUUUUGUCUUAAAGUCUGCCAGUACAAGCAGCCCACCUGUGUGACAUCCCCAACGUCUCAGAUGUCAGACCACCUCUUCUCAAAAACCUCAAAGCCCAGGACACCUUUCCUAGGCCUCGGGCAGAGGAUGCUUUCAGGUGGUCAGGAAAGCAGAGAGAGAAAUGGCCUCUGAGGAGAAGAGCCAGCAGAGGUGCAGGACCACCAGCCUCCAGGUCCCCCGAGUCCCAGGCUCUCUCCUUGCAAACAGAACUCCACAAGGAUGUGUCCUGGGGUCCAUCACCUGGAGCCACUGAGAACCGUGGACAGGCUGACUUCACGCUUUUCCCCUCUUCUCUUCAUUGCCCAUGCAGUUUGCUCUAAUUUAGUUAUUUAGUCAGUUGUGUAAUAAUGCCUGUGAGCUCAUCAUCCAAAACAAAGCCAAGCCAGGCCAGACCCAUGCCAAUUACUGACAUUUCAUCCAUUGCCCCCAUCCCUGAAUCCUGUGCUCACUAUUCCAUGCUUUUCUCUAUAUUAUUUAAAUAUUUCUUUAUAUAAUGGAGAAUUCCAAAUAUACACAAAGUUAGAGACUGGUAUAGUGAACCCACAUGUCCUCAUUAUCUUGAUUUUAACUUUUCAGAUGCCCGAUCUUGUUUUAUUCAUUUCCUCUAUUUCCACAUUUUCUGAUAGUCAUACUGCAUUUGUAUGUGUUCCCAAAGGGUAUCUAGUUUUCAUUUUGGUUGUUCAACUUUAUCAGAGGGUGUCUUGCUCUCUCUACUUUUCUUCAGGGCUACUAUGGUCACUUAAUACUGUGUUGGUCAGAAUCAUCCUUGUUUCUGCCUGUCACUGUGGCUCAUUCAUUUUGAUGGUGUGUAAUAGUCCACUGUGUGAACGUACCUUCGUUUAUUCUCCACUCUCCCACUCAUGACCAUUCGUGCUGUUUCUAGCCUUUUGCUAGCGUGCACUUACGAAUAUUCUUAUAUGUUCUUGUCAUGUACCUGGUGUGCCUCUAGGAGUGGAAUUGUUCACUUUGGGAUUAAUGCUGGACUGGUAUCCAAUUCUCUCCAGUGCUGGUUAUUGAUAGCUUAUUAAUUUUUCCCAAUUCCUUUGCCAAUUAAAAUGGAAUCUCACUGGGGCCUUAAUAUGCAUUUCUUUGGGAGUUUUUAAUACAAUAAAAAC
Molecule: long non-coding RNA, 1823 nt
Organism: Manis javanica (Malayan pangolin)
Lineage: Eukaryota; Metazoa; Chordata; Mammalia; Pholidota; Manidae
Source: RefSeq, a predicted model, not a curated record